GAUGAACGCUGGCGGCGUGCCUAAUACAUGCAAGUCUAGCGAACAGACGAGGAGCUUGCUCCUCUGACGUUAGCGGCGGACGGGUGAGUAACACGUGGAUAACCUACCUAUAUGACUGGGAUAACUUCGGGAAACCGGAGCUAUUACCGGAUAAUAUAUUGAACCGCAUGGUUCAAUAGUGAAAGACGGUUUUGCUGUCACUUAUAGAUGUAUCCGCGCCGCAUUAGCUAGUUGGUAAGGUAACGGCUUACCAAGGCAACGAUGCGUAGCCGACCUGAGAGGGUGAUCGGCCACACUGGAACUGAGACACGGUCCAGACUCCUACGGGAGGCAGCAGUAGGGAAUCUUCCGCAAAGGGCGAAAGCUUGACGGAGCAACGCCGCGUGAGUGAUGAAGGUCUUCGGAUCGUAAAACUCUGUUAUUAGGGAAGAACAAAUGUGUAAGUAACUAUGCACGUCUUGACGGUACCUAAUCAGAAAGCCACGGCUAACUACGUG
RNAcentral lists this ribosomal RNA (497 nucleotides) under uncultured bacterium. RNAcentral's name for it is "partial 16S ribosomal RNA". It matches the Rfam family "Bacterial small subunit ribosomal RNA", at positions 28 to 507 of the family's 1533-position model. The record is from RNAcentral.